GUCGAGAAUUUUUCACAAUGGGCGAAACCCUGAUGGAGCGACGCCGCGUGGAGGAUGAAGGCCUUCGGGUCGUAAAGCUCUGUCAUCAGGGACGAACGGCCGGUGGGGUGGAAAGCCACCGGAUUGACGGUACCUGAGAAGGAAGCCACGGCUAACUACGUGCCAGCAGCCGCGGUAAUACGUAGGUGGCAAGCGUUGUCCGGAAUUAUUGGGCGUAAAGCGCGCGCAGGUGGGAUCUUAAGUCCAUUUUUAAAGUUCGGAGCUCAACUCCGUGAUGGGAUGGAAACUGGGAUUCUUGAGUACCGGAGAGGAAAGCGGAAUUCCCCGUGUAGCGGUGAAAUGCGUAGAUAUGGGGAGGAACACCAGUGGCGAAGGCGGCUUUCUGGACGGUGUCUGACACUGAGGCGCGAAAGCCAGGGGAGCGAACGGGAUUAGAAACCCCAGUAGUCC
RNAcentral lists this ribosomal RNA (450 nucleotides) under uncultured bacterium. RNAcentral's name for it is "partial 16S ribosomal RNA". It matches the Rfam family "Bacterial small subunit ribosomal RNA", at positions 354 to 796 of the family's 1533-position model. The record is from RNAcentral.